RNAcentral lists this ribosomal RNA (472 nucleotides) under uncultured bacterium. RNAcentral's name for it is "partial 16S ribosomal RNA". It matches the Rfam family "Bacterial small subunit ribosomal RNA", at positions 28 to 507 of the family's 1533-position model. The record is from RNAcentral.
GACGAACGCUGGCGGCGUGCUUAACACAUGCAAGUCGAACGCUGACGCAUGGUGCUUGCGCUGGUUGGAUGAGUGGCGAACGGGUGAGUAAUACGUGAGUAACCUGCCCUUGACUCUGGGAUAAGCCUGGGAAACUGGGUCUAAUACUGGAUACGACAUGCCACUGCAUGGUGCAGUGUGGAAUGGGUUUUUCUGGUUUUGGAUGGGCUCACGGCCUAUCAGCUUGUUGGUGGGGUAAUGGCCUACCAAGGCGACGACGGGUAGCCGGCCUGAGAGGGUGAACGGCCACACUGCGACUGAGAGACGGCCCAGACUCCUACGGGAGGCAGCAGUGGGGAAUAUUGCACAGUGAGACGAAGCCUGAUGCAGCGACGCCGCGUGAGGGAUGACGGCCUUCGGGUUGUAAACCUCUUUCAGCACGGAAGAAGCGAGAGUGACGGUACGUGCAGAAGAAGCGCCGGCUAACUACGUG